AGGACGAACGCUGGCGGCGUGCUUAACACAUGCAAGUCGAGCGGUAAGGCCUUUCGGGGUACACGAGCGGCGAACGGGUGAGUAACACGUGGGUGAUCUGCCCUGCACUCUGGGAUAAGCCUGGGAAACUGGGUCUAAUACCGGAUAUGACCUGCUCUCGCAUGGGGGUGGGUGGAAAGAUUUAUCGGUGCAGGAUGGGCCCGCGGCCUAUCAGCUUGUUGGUGGGGUAAUGGCCUACCAAGGCGACGACGGGUAGCCGACCUGAGAGGGUGACCGGCCACACUGGGACUGAGACACGGCCCAGACUCCUACGGGAGGCAGCAGUGGGGAAUAUGCACAAUGGGCGAAAGCCUGAUGCAGCGACGCCGCGUGAGGAUGAAGGCCUUACGGGUUGUAAACCUCUUUCAGCAGGGACGAAGCGACAAGUGACGGUACCUGCAGAAGAAGCACCGGCUAACUACGUGACCAGCAAGCCGA
Molecule: ribosomal RNA, 477 nt
Filed under: uncultured soil bacterium
Lineage: Bacteria
Description: bacterial SSU rRNA
Rfam family: Bacterial small subunit ribosomal RNA
Source: RNAcentral